Molecule: small nuclear RNA, 107 nt
Organism: Psammomys obesus (fat sand rat)
Lineage: Eukaryota; Metazoa; Chordata; Mammalia; Rodentia; Muridae
Source: RefSeq, a predicted model, not a curated record
AUGCUCACUUCAGCAGCACAUAUACUAAAAUUGGAAGUAUACAGAGAAGAUUAACAUGGCCCCUGAGCAAGGAUGACAUGCAUAUUUAUGAAGCAUCCCAUAUAUUU